GUGCUUGCUUCAGCAGCACAUAUACUAAACCUAGAAUGAUACAGGGAAGAUUAUCAUGGCCCCCGUGCAAGGAUGACAUGUAAAUUUGUAAAGUGUUCCAUAUUUUU
Microcebus murinus (gray mouse lemur) is the source of this 107-nucleotide small nuclear RNA. Lineage: Eukaryota; Metazoa; Chordata; Mammalia; Primates; Cheirogaleidae. The record is from Ensembl.